RNAcentral lists this transfer RNA (73 nucleotides) under Nematostella vectensis (starlet sea anemone). It matches the Rfam family "tRNA". Rfam says of the family: Transfer RNA (tRNA) molecules are approximately 80 nucleotides in length. Their secondary structure includes four short double-helical elements and three loops (D, anti-codon, and T loops). The record is from Rfam by way of RNAcentral. Lineage: Eukaryota; Metazoa; Cnidaria; Anthozoa; Actiniaria; Edwardsiidae.
GACUCCGUGGCGCAAUGGUAGCGCGUCUGACUCCAGAUCGAGAAGGUUGCGUGUUCAAAUCACGUCGGGGUCA